Molecule: ribosomal RNA, 829 nt
Filed under: uncultured Bacillota bacterium
Lineage: Bacteria; Bacillati; Bacillota
Description: bacterial SSU rRNA
Rfam family: Bacterial small subunit ribosomal RNA
Source: RNAcentral
CAAGUCGAACGGGAAAGUGGAGCAAUCCAUGAGUACAGUGGCGUACGGGUGAGUAACACGUGGGUAUCUAACUCUUAGUGGGGAAUAACCCAGGGAAACCGGGGCUAAUACCGCAUAAGCUCGAGAGAGGAAAGCAGCAAUGCGCUGAGAGAGGAGCCCGCGGCCGAUUAGCUAGUUGGUAGGGUAAAGGCCUACCAAGGCAGAGAUCGGUAGCCGGCCUGAGAGGGCACACGGCCACACUGGCACUGAAACACGGGCCAGACUCCUACGGGAGGCAGCAGUGGGGAAUCUUGCACAAUGGGGGCAACCCUGAUGCAGCGACGCCGCGUGAGCGAUGAAGCCCUUCGGGGUGUAAAGCUCUUUCGUCAGGGAAGAUAAUGACGGUACCUGGAGAAGCAGCUGCGGCUAACUACGUGCCAGCAGCCGCGGUAAUACGUAGGCAGCGAGCGUUGUUCGGAGUUACUGGGCGUAAAGGGUGUGUAGGCGGUUCUUUAAGUUUAGUGUGAAAUCUCCCGGCUCAACCGGGAGGGUGCGCUGAAUACUGAGGGACUAGAGUACGGGAGAGGAAAGUGGAAUUCCUGGUGUAGCGGUGAAAUGCGUAGAUAUCAGGAGGAACACCGGUGGUGUAGACGGCUUUCUGGACCGUAACUGACGCUGAGACACGAAAGCGUGGGUAGCAAACAGGAUUAGAUACCCUGGUAGUCCACGCCCUAAACGAUGCAUAUUUGGUGUGGGUCAUUCAGUUGAUCCGUGCCGGAGCUAACGCGUUAAAUAUGCCGCCUGGGGAGUACAGUCGCAAGGCUGAAACUCAAGGAAUUGACGGGGGCCC